CUUGCUUUCUGGUCGCCAGGGAAGCAAGGAGGCAUCAACCCAGGACAGCAAGGGCAGGAAGGAGCCUGGGAGAAACAGAAGUCAACAAGCAGCAGAAUUUCACAGCCACCCACUGAAGCCGCUGGAGAUCUGAGGAAUCCCAGAGACAAGAAUGGGAAUCUCUCCCUUACCCUCAGGGCAGAAGAUCUCCUUUCCAGAGAAGGUCCUGCCCCACACCCAGAAGGAAGUGCUGCUCAGAGAGGCCAAGAAGAUUCUAGACAGAUAGGCUUUGCUGGGUGUCCCCAGUCAGUCCAUCAGGAUGGACUUUUUGUCCAAUCAUAUUUCUACAUGGCUGUCCAUACUUCGUUGAACUUAAGCAUAAAAGUGGACAAUAUCCCCUGUAUCUUUGGGUCUUCAUUCUGAAGG
Molecule: long non-coding RNA, 405 nt
Organism: Cercocebus atys (sooty mangabey)
Lineage: Eukaryota; Metazoa; Chordata; Mammalia; Primates; Cercopithecidae
Exons: 3
Source: RefSeq, a predicted model, not a curated record